Molecule: non-coding RNA, 188 nt
Filed under: Chryseobacterium sp. FH1
Lineage: Bacteria; Pseudomonadati; Bacteroidota; Flavobacteriia; Flavobacteriales; Weeksellaceae
Also listed under: 1 other name
Source: RNAcentral
UAUAUUUGCCGAGAAUUUGGUUCCCUAAGAUUUGGGAUUAAAUGGGAAUGAAGCGUAAAUCUUCAACUGUCCCCGCAACUGUAAAUCGCAAAAAGAGAUUUUGUAAUCUAUGCCAUUGUCUGUGAUUAAGGAUGAGAAGGCGCAAAAUCAGCGAAAGUCAGGAGACCUGCCAGAGAAAAUUAAAAAAA